CUGGUAACCUAGGAAGGGGCAAGGGUCACUACAAUGUUAAUUGGUGUCUGCAGAUCAGACCCAUUUUUCUAUAGUGAAUAAUUUAAAAACAAUGUCAUUCAUUAAAUGAACCAAUGCCCUUGACUUCUUAAAAGAGGUGAAGGGAAUUAAUCACAGUAAGUUCUCUGAACAUAAAAAUUAACUAAGUUUAUAGUGCUGGAACUGAUGUGUGUGCGAUAACAGUACAUUAUAUUUGAAAGGGAUGACCAGAAGACAGCAGCAGGAAUUAAACUAAAGCCAAGAAACUGAGCACAGCUCCUUGGACAAAUCUUAAUCUUGGCUGAUGCCAUAUCUGGUGGGGGUGAGCUGAAGUGUACUUCACUGUGCAUAGAGAGAGAAACCUGCUUUUGAAACUCCUUCCAGAAGCAUACUAUCUUUUCGUAAGUGGGAAAUGUCUUGUGUUUUGCCUUGUGUUUCUUGUUUGAUGGCAUGCCUGGGUCUUCUUUCUUAUUUUUACCUUGUCUGCAGAUUUUUCCACCACAAAGAGAGCUCCCAGAUGAUUAUGCACUCUUCUGCCCAGUGAACAAAAGGAAGCAUAAUCUGGACUAACUACAGGUUGAAUAUCCCAGGUUCUUCUCAGGUUAUGGUUGGCUGAGCUAUACUUAUUGAACACCUGCUGUAAAUAACCAUCAUGAAGAUGAAGCCUUGUAGGUUCCAAUUGUGGUUUACCCACAGAGUGUUCUGGGCAAAUCACUCUGUGAUUCUGUUUUCCGUGUCAUUAAAAGAGGAGAGUAUUACCACCCUCCUAAAAUGGGUAUUGUGAGGAUUAAAUGGAAACAAAAUAGGUUUUGUGGAAAUUGUAAAUGUUACCUUAACACUACACCAAUGUUAGUUAUUUUUUCCCAGUAUCUGAAAUUUGGGAGGAAAGAAUAAAAGACAGAAAAAUGAAAAAGAAGAGGAAGAGAAGGAAGAAGAGAGGGUGUGUGGAUUUUGACCUUGAGAUGCUUAUACAUGUGUGGCAGAGAAACAAAACAAAUGACAUGAAAUGAUGCUGUAAAUUGGGAAACUUUAUACAUUUAGUUGGCUCUGCUGAUUGUUCUAAUUACCAGUUGAUAUGGUUUGGCUGCAUGCCCACCCAAAUCUCAUCUUGAAUUGUAGUUCCUAUAAUCCCCAUGUGUCAUGGGAGGGACCUGGUAGGAGGUAAUUGAAUCAUGGGGGUGGUUUCCCUCAUGCUAUUCUCGUGAUAAUGAGUAAGUUCUCACAAUAUCUGGUGGCUUUAUAAGGGGCUUCCCCCUUCACUCAGUUCUCAUUCUUUUCUCUCCUUUUGCUAUGUGAAGAAGGACAUGUUUGCUUCUCCUGCCAUGGCUGGAAGUUUCCUGAGGCCUCCCCAGCCAUCCUGAACUGUGAGUCAAUUAAACCUCUUUCCUUUAUAAAUUACCUAGUCUUGGGUAUGUCUUUAUUAGCAGUGUGAGAACUAACUAAUACAGUUAAUUGGUACUGAGAGUGGAGUGCUGCUAUAAGGAUACCUGAAUGUGGAAUGCAACUUUGGAACUUAGUAACAGGCAGAGGUUGGAACAGUUUGGAGGGCUCAGAAGUAGAUGGGAAAAUG
Molecule: long non-coding RNA, 1588 nt
Filed under: Homo sapiens (human)
Lineage: Eukaryota; Metazoa; Chordata; Mammalia; Primates; Hominidae
Description: HSALNT0249818
Source: RNAcentral